AAAUUGAAGAGUUUGAUCAUGGCUCAGAUUGAACGCUGGCGGCAGGCCUAACACAUGCAAGUCGAACGGUAACAGGAAACAGCUUGCUGUUUCGCUGACGAGUGGCGGACGGGUGAGUAAUGUCUGGGAAACUGCCUGAUGGAGGGGGAUAACUACUGGAAACGGUAGCUAAUACCGCAUAACGUCGCAAGACCAAAGAGGGGGACCUUUGGGCCUCUUGCCAUCGGAUGUGCCCAGAUGGGAUUAGCUAGUAGGUGGGGUAACGGCUCACCUAGGCGA
RNAcentral lists this ribosomal RNA (279 nucleotides) under Escherichia coli. Its description in RNAcentral is "partial 16S ribosomal RNA". It matches the Rfam family "Bacterial small subunit ribosomal RNA", at positions 1 to 276 of the family's 1533-position model. The record is from RNAcentral. Lineage: Bacteria; Pseudomonadati; Pseudomonadota; Gammaproteobacteria; Enterobacterales; Enterobacteriaceae.